Molecule: ribosomal RNA, 245 nt
Filed under: uncultured Enterococcus sp.
Lineage: Bacteria; Bacillati; Bacillota; Bacilli; Lactobacillales; Enterococcaceae
Description: partial 16S ribosomal RNA
Rfam family: Bacterial small subunit ribosomal RNA
Source: RNAcentral
UACGUAGGUGGCAAGCGUUGUCCGGAUUUAUUGGGCGUAAAGCGAGCGCAGGCGGUUUCUUAAGUCUGAUGUGAAAGCCCCCGGCUCAACCGGGGAGGGUCAUUGGAAACUGGGAGACUUGAGUGCAGAAGAGGAGAGUGGAAUUCCAUGUGUAGCGGUGAAAUGCGUAGAUAUAUGGAGGAACACCAGUGGCGAAGGCGGCUCUCUGGUCUGUAACUGACGCUGAGGCUCGAAAGCGUGGGGAG